This 460-nucleotide ribosomal RNA is filed under the name uncultured bacterium. Its description in RNAcentral is "partial 16S ribosomal RNA". It matches the Rfam family "Bacterial small subunit ribosomal RNA", at positions 338 to 795 of the family's 1533-position model. The record is from RNAcentral.
CCUACGGGAGGCAGCAGUGAGGAAUAUUGGUCAAUGGACGAGAGUCUGAACCAGCCAAGUAGCGUGAAGAAUGACUGCCCUAUGGGUUGUAAACUUCUUUUAUAUGGGAAUAAAACGUUCCACGUGUGGGAUUUUGUAUGUACCAUAUGAAUAAGGAUCGGCUAACUCCGUGCCAGCAGCCGCGGUAAUACGGAGGAUCCGAGCGUUAUCCGGAUUUAUUGGGUUUAAAGGGAGCGUAGGUGGAUUGUUAAGUCAGUUGUGAAAGUUUGCGGCUCAACCGUAAAAUUGCAGUUGAAACUGGCAGUCUUGAGUACAGUAGAGGUGGGCGGAAUUCGUGGUGUAGCGGUGAAAUGCUUAGAUAUCACGAAGAACUCCGAUUGCGAAGGCAGUUCACUGGACUGCAACUGACACUGAGGCUCGAAAGUGUGGGUAUCAAACAGGAUUAGAUACCCUUGUAGUC